RNAcentral lists this ribosomal RNA (301 nucleotides) under uncultured bacterium. Its description in RNAcentral is "partial 16S ribosomal RNA". It matches the Rfam family "Bacterial small subunit ribosomal RNA", at positions 509 to 807 of the family's 1533-position model. The record is from RNAcentral.
CAGCAGCCACGGUAAUACGUAGGUGGCAAGCGUUGUCCGGAAUUAUUGGGCGUAAAGGGCUCGCAGGCGGUUUCUUAAGUCUGAUGUGAAAGCCCCCGGCUCAACCGGGGAGGGUCAUUGGAAACUGGGAAACUUGAGUGCAGAAGAGGAGAGUGGAAUUCCACGUGUAGCGGUGAAGUGCGUAGAGAUGUGGAGGAACACCAGUGGCGAAGGCGACUCUCUGGUCUGUAACUGACGCUGAGGAGCGAAAGCGUGGGGAGCGAACAGGAUUAGAUACCCGCGUAGUCCCUGUCUCUUAUAC